This 251-nucleotide ribosomal RNA is filed under the name uncultured bacterium. RNAcentral describes it as "partial 16S ribosomal RNA". It matches the Rfam family "Bacterial small subunit ribosomal RNA", at positions 524 to 773 of the family's 1533-position model. The record is from RNAcentral.
UACGUAGGGUGCGAGCGUUAAUCGGAAUUACUGGGCGUAAAGCGUGCGCAGGCGGUUUGCUAAGACCGAUGUGAAAUCCCCGGGCUUAACCUGGGAACUGCAUUGGUGACUGGCAGGCUAGAGUAUGGCAGAGGGGGGGUAGAAUUCCACGUGUAGCAGUGAAAUGCGUAGAGAUGUGGAGGAAUACCGAUGGCGAAGGCAGCCCCCUGGGCCAAUACUGACGCUCAUGCACGAAAGCGUGGGGAGCAAAC